Molecule: ribosomal RNA, 269 nt
Filed under: uncultured prokaryote
Description: partial 16S ribosomal RNA
Rfam family: Bacterial small subunit ribosomal RNA
Source: RNAcentral
UACGGAGAUGGCAAGCGUUGUUCGGAAUUACUGGGCAUAAAGGGCGCGUAGGCUGUUCCGCAAGUCAGAUGUGAAAUCCCCCGGCUCAACCGAGGAAUUGCGUUUGAAACUGCGGGGCUGGAGUACAGGAGGGGAGAGUGGAAUUCCUGGUGGAGCGGUGAAAUGCGUAGAUAUCAGGAAGAACGCCGGAGGCGAAAGCGACUCUCUGGCCUGUUACUGACGCUGAGGCGCGAAAGCCAAGGGAGCGAACAGGAUUAGAUACCCCGGUA